GUAGCGAAAUUCCUUGUCGGGUAAGUUCCGACCUGCACGAAUGGCGUAACGACUUCCCCGCUGUCUCCAGCAUAGACUCAGUGAAAUUGAAUUCCCCGUGAAGAUGCGGGGUUCCUGCGGUUAGACGGAAAGACCCCGUGCACCUUUACUAUAGCUUUACAUUGGCAUUCGUAGUGGCAUGUGUAGGAUAGGUGGUAGGCUUUGAAGCCAGGGCGCCAGCCUUGGUGGAGCCACCCUUGAAAUACCACCCUUAUUACUAUGGAUGUCUAACCGCGGCCCGUUAUCCGGGUCCGGGACAAUGUAUGGUGGGUAGUUUGACUGGGGCGGUCGCCUCCUAAAGAGUAACGGAGGCGCGCGAUGGUGGGCUCAGAACGGUCGGAAAUCGUUCGCUGAGUGCAAUGGCAUAAGCCUGCCUGACUGCGAGACUGACAAGUCGAGCAGAGACGAAAGUCGGUCAUAGUGAUCCGGUGGUCCCGCGUGGAAGGGCCAUCGCUCAAACGGGAUAAAACGGGUACGCCGGGGAUAGCAGGCUGAUGACCCCCAAGAGUCCUAG
Molecule: ribosomal RNA, 553 nt
Filed under: uncultured Mesorhizobium sp.
Lineage: Bacteria; Pseudomonadati; Pseudomonadota; Alphaproteobacteria; Hyphomicrobiales; Phyllobacteriaceae
Description: bacterial LSU rRNA
Rfam family: Bacterial large subunit ribosomal RNA
Source: RNAcentral